GAGCGGCGAACGGGUGAGUAACACGUGAGUAACCUGCCCUUGGCUCUGGGAUAAGCCCGGGAAACUGGGUCUAAUACCGGAUAUAACCACUGGAUGCAUGUCUUGGUGGUGGAAAGUUUUUCGGCUGGGGAUGGGCUCGCGGUCUAUCAGCUUGUUGGUGGGGUGAUGGCCUACCAAGGCGACGACGGGUAGCCGGCCUGAGAGGGUGACCGGCCACACUGGGACUGAGACACGGCCCAGACUCCUACGGGAGGCAGCAGUGGGGAAUAUUGCGCAAUGGGCGGAAGCCUGACGCAGCGACGCCGCGUGGGGGAUGAAGGCCUUCGGGUUGUAAACCUCUUUCACCACCGACGAAGCUAACGUGACGGUAGGUGGGGAAGAAGCGCCGGCUAACUACGUGCCAGCAGCCGCGGUAAUACGUAGGGCGCAAGCGUUGUCCGGAAUUAUUGGGCGUAAAGAGCUCGUAGGCGGUCUGUCGCGUCUGCCGUGAAAACCCGAGGCUUAACCUCGGGCCUGCGGUGGAUACGGGCAGACUAGAGGUAGGUAGGGGAGAAUGGAAUUCCC
Molecule: ribosomal RNA, 564 nt
Filed under: Actinomadura sp. 431D03
Lineage: Bacteria; Bacillati; Actinomycetota; Actinomycetes; Streptosporangiales; Thermomonosporaceae
Description: bacterial SSU rRNA
Rfam family: Bacterial small subunit ribosomal RNA
Source: RNAcentral